GGUGGGGUUCCCGAGCGGCCAAAGGGAGCAGUCUGUAAAUCUGCCGUCAUCGACUUCGAAGGUUCGAAUCCUUCCCCCACCACCA
Molecule: transfer RNA, 85 nt
Filed under: Citrobacter freundii
Lineage: Bacteria; Pseudomonadati; Pseudomonadota; Gammaproteobacteria; Enterobacterales; Enterobacteriaceae
Also listed under: 2 other names
Description: tRNA-Tyr
Rfam family: tRNA
About the family: Transfer RNA (tRNA) molecules are approximately 80 nucleotides in length. Their secondary structure includes four short double-helical elements and three loops (D, anti-codon, and T loops).
Source: RNAcentral